This 463-nucleotide ribosomal RNA is filed under the name uncultured Alphaproteobacteria bacterium. Its description in RNAcentral is "bacterial SSU rRNA". It matches the Rfam family "Bacterial small subunit ribosomal RNA", at positions 224 to 704 of the family's 1533-position model. Lineage: Bacteria; Pseudomonadati; Pseudomonadota; Alphaproteobacteria. RNAcentral also lists the same sequence under 1 other name. The record is from RNAcentral.
GAGGGGCCCGCGUCGGAUUAGGUAGUUGGUGGGGUAACGGCCCACCAAGCCUUCGAUCCGUAGCUGGUCUGAGAGGAUGAUCAGCCACACUGGGACUGAGAUACGGCCCAGACUCCUACGGGAGGCAGCAGUGGGGAAUAUUGGACAAUGGGGGCAACCCUGAUCCAGCAAUGCCGCGUGGGUGAUGAAGGCCUUCGGGUUGUAAAGCCCUUUCGGCGGGGAAGAUGAUGACGGUACCCGCAGAAGAAGCCCCGGCUAACUUCGUGCCAGCAGCCGCGGUAAUACGAAGGGGGCUAGCGUUGUUCGGAAUUACUGGGCGUAAAGGGCGCGUAGGCUGUGCUGUAAGUCAGGCGUGAAAGGCCCGGGCUCAACCUGGGAAUGGCGCUUGAUACUGCGGCGCUGGAAGGCGGGAGAGGAUGGCGGAAUUCCCAGUGUAGAGGUGAAAUUCGUAGAUAUUGGGAAG